This 1520-nucleotide long non-coding RNA is filed under the name Heterocephalus glaber (naked mole-rat). Its description in RNAcentral is "lncRNA (ENSHGLG00100051306.1)". Lineage: Eukaryota; Metazoa; Chordata; Mammalia; Rodentia; Bathyergidae. The record is from RNAcentral.
GUUUACGAGUCCUACCCGAUUGCCCCCAUCUCCUGUUAGCCGAGCAACCGGGCCACUGCCCUCUCCCGCAGCCCGGGGGCCGCUCGGGGCUCGGGCCACCUGCUGCGGGGCCAGGGAGGGGCAGGGCCGACUCCUCUGACCCGGUCUCCUGCUCUUUCUAUCUGGAAAGGAACGCGCAAGCCCCAGCCCAGUCCGCGGGCGCCACUCCGGCUCCAGGGCGAGGACGCAGCUACUCACCGCUCGCCGCCCGUCACCUCUCCUUACUGGACCCCGAUCGCUGGAACGGCUCACGGAUUAUUUAAAAGCCGGCUCCGGAGAUCCCCGGGACGGCUUCCCGAGAGCCCGCCCCGCUGCCCCGCCCGCCAGCCCGGACGGGAACGGACCGCGGGUCAGCAGGACCCCGGACCCUGCGGGAGGCAGCCGAACCCAGACACCCGGCGAAGACCUGUUGCGGCCUCCCCCUGUCCCCGACCAACUUCCAGAGAUGGAGCUGCCGGGACGGGGGUGACCCUUAAACGUACUCACCGGCUACGGCCGAGCUGAGCGCGGGACCAGGGGCUGGGUCCCGACCCGCACGGUAAUUUAAAUAUCGCCAAGCCUCGGCCUCCGGCCGCGCUCUGAUUGGUCGGCCGAGCAGGCGGUCAGGCUGCCCCGAGGGCACCCACCGGACCCCGCGGAACUUCACUUCCUGCGCCUGGAACCCGGCCCCUGCACACCCUGCUCGGGACACGUCGCCUUGCACCCGACCAGAGCCCUCUCCUCGGAAUGCAGCUACCUUCCCGAAAACUCCAGGUUCCCAGGCGCCUCCGGUGACUCCUCCGGGCCUUUAGACUCUGUGGCCUGCUCCGAAGGCGUUGUUUGUGAAACAAAACUAAAGGAAAGCCAAACCACAGGGGUGGGGGUGCAGCGCUUGAAUACCAUGCACGUGGCCUUGGGUUCUCCUCGCAGCACCCAGACAAAACACAACAAAACUAGUUUGGUUCCUUAGUGUGUGUCUUUGCAUUGCUUAGUUACUGGACUCAUAAAAAGGACUGAGCUGUGAAAAGGGCAUCUGCUAACGCUCAGAGCACACUACAUCCGAUCCGAUCGCUGGGUGCAUAUGGGCCUCCUGGACUGACGGCGUCUGAGAAUCUUCACCCCUGCUGGCGUUGCGCUGAGCCAUGGAAAGCCAGAAGUAACCAUCCUUGUGACUCCCCUCCUACUGGGCGCCACGUCCUCACUCACCACUUCCUUUCUGGAAUUGAGGAUACAGUGGCCCUUUUUGUCUGCCCACAUCUGUGGAUUCAACAGAAGCUCUUCGGUGUUCAGACAUGGAUUUGCACAGGGCUCUGCAGCGAGCGCCAGGACUUCGGCCUUUGACUGGAUCCCUGGACUCUGCAGGACACGCGUGGCCCACUUACACUCAUCCACCUUGGACUCUGCAGGCAGCCAUUGUAAGCCGACUUAGUAAAUCCUUGGAAUGUCAUAUAUACAAAUCUUUGUAUUACAUUCGGGGCCCUUGGGCAACUUCUUCAUGUAGC